GAAAAGUGAAAGGGGGGAAGAGGUUUGGUUGGAAGAAAUUAAUGGAAGGAGAUGAAAGAAAACAAUAAUCCUUGAUGCUAAAAGAAAUCUUUUUAUGUAUAAGCACCAGAAAUCAUCAUUGAAAUAUCAGGGGAAAAUAAUAAAAAGAGAACUUACUAGUCUAAUAUGUCCGUUGCCUCUUUGUCUGUGAAAAAUUGAAUUUCUGACUUACUCCUUUAAUCUUUUAACUUUUGCCUUUUCACAUUAGGAUCUGCAAAAAGUAAUGUUGGACUGUAUUUUUG
This 281-nucleotide unclassified non-coding RNA is filed under the name Hevea brasiliensis (rubber tree). The record is from RNAcentral. Lineage: Eukaryota; Viridiplantae; Streptophyta; Magnoliopsida; Malpighiales; Euphorbiaceae.